Molecule: ribosomal RNA, 460 nt
Filed under: uncultured bacterium
Lineage: Bacteria
Description: partial 16S ribosomal RNA
Rfam family: Bacterial small subunit ribosomal RNA
Source: RNAcentral
CCUACGGGAGGCAGCAGUGAGGAAUAUUGGUCAAUGGGCGUAAGCCUGACCCAGCGAAGUCGCGUGAGGGAUGAAGGUUCUAUGGAUCGUAAACCUCUUUUAUAAGGGAGUAAGGUGCGGGACGUGUCCCGUUUUGAAUGUACCUUAUGAGUAAGGAACGGCUAACUCCGGGCCAGCAGCCGCGGUAAUACGGAGGAUCCGAGCGUUAUCCGGAUUUAUUGGGUUUAAAGGGUGCGUAGGCGGCCUGUUAAGUCAGCGGUGAAAGUCUGUGGCUCAACCAUAGAAUUGCCUUUGAAACUGGCAGGCUUGAGUAUGUUUGAGGCAGGCGGAAUGCGUGGUGUAGCGGUGAAAUGCUUAGAUAUCACGCAGAACCUCGAUUGCGAAGGCAGCCUGCCAAGCCAUGACUGACGCUGAGGCACGAAAGCGUGGGGAUCAAACAGGAUUAGAUACCCUUGUAGUC